Drosophila ananassae is the source of this 3178-nucleotide long non-coding RNA. RefSeq lists it as uncharacterized. The transcript is spliced from 2 exons. Lineage: Eukaryota; Metazoa; Arthropoda; Insecta; Diptera; Drosophilidae. The record is from RefSeq and is a predicted model, not a curated record.
AUUUAAAUAUUUAAAAAUUAUUUAAAAUUUAAUAAAUAAAUAAAAUUUUAAUAUGUAUAUAAAAUUAAAUAAAUUUUAAUUUAAAUUCCGGUACAAACAACGAAAACAAUAAUAAUUAAUUCAGUACCACUAAGCUGCGAAGUGUAAAGACGUGUGACUAACGACCAGUAGACAAAAAGAAAAAAACAAACCUUAUCAGUUAAAAAAACCAACAACUAUAAGCCAGUGAUAUACAAAAACAAAAAACACAAAAAACGAGAGCAAAAAGAGGAAAAAGAGAGGCAGAACAAAAAAAAGGGCAGGUGCCCAAAAACUAUUAAAAAAUGCCCCCCGACAUAAAUAGACUAUUUAAAACAUCCAACACAGAAUCGAAAUUCAUGACCAUAAAUAGAACAGACAAUAAUACAUUUAAAGGCCUGAACCCAUUCUUGAUUAAAAAAGUAAUAGACUACACGUGCAAUGGUGAAAUGGAGACAGUCAAAGUCACAAAAGUAGGAUCAUUAUUAGUCAAAACAAAAAACAACCUGCAAGCACUAAAACUAAAAAAAAUGACCACCUUCCACGACUUUCCUGUAAUAGUUAGCGAACACAAAACGCUCAACUUCUCCAAGGGAGUCAUAUACUCCAACGAUCUUCGCAACAUUGACGACGAAACUAUUUUGCAGGAACUUAAACCACAAAACGUCUCAGAAAUACGCAAAAUUAAAAAAAUUGAAAACAAUGAACCCAAAAAAACUUGACUGAUCAUCGUAACCUUCGCAUCAUUAACCCUCCCAGAAACAAUGAUGAUAGGAUAUGAGAGAGUAAAUAUACGCCCAUAUAUCCCUCUCCCAAUGAGAUGCAGAAACUGCCUUAGACUUGGACACCCCAUAAUCGCUUGCACAUCAAACAAAACCUGCAACAACUGCUCAGCCGAACAACACACAGCCAUAGACGAAAUAUGCUCCAACGACAAAUUCUGCAUUAAUUGUAAAUACAGUCUAACAAACAAUAAGCACAGCCCAUUAGACAAAUCUUGCCCUGAAUUUUUUAAACAAAAGGAAUUGACAUCUAUCAAAACAAUAGAAAAAGUGGAACACAAAACCGCUCUAAAUAUAUACCAUUCUCGACACAUCCACCAACCAACUUUAUACUCCACCGUUUCAACCGAAAAAUCUAACAUCCAAGCAUCAACAACCACCAAACCGCAAUCCAUUUCAUCCAAGCAUCUAAAAAAUUACAAGAACACUGCCAUCACUCCUGCAGUCACUAAACCUCAACAAAGAAACGCAACAACAUACGAUGAUCUCGACUCGCACAUGGACACCACCCCACCCACAGCAUCCACCUCCACAUUAGCUCCUAUUUCAUCACUAAACUCUUCCAUAUCGGAAGAACUUAAACUUAGAAUCUACACAAACAAACACAACACCCUCGCCAAAUCCUUAAAAUCUAAAGAGAAUAAUGAACAAAAACAAAAAAAAAAACAAUAAAAACAAGAACCAACUUAAUAGCGAAAGCGACGGCUCAUUGCAACAUCAUAAUGAACCAAUUAACGCCUUUGACUUUGACACAAUAGCAGUAACAAUAUAUUCAAAAAUUAAAAUCACCAUAACAUCUUCGUACAUACCACCCAACAAGAACUUCACAAUCCAAAACCUAAGAAACAUAUACGACAAUUUACAACCUCCCCUACUAAUAACUGGAGACUUCAAUAGCUGGCACAGAAGCUGGGGCUCAAUAAACAACAACAAAAGAGAUCUCGCAUUUGCUUCUCCCCCUCUGAAUCUGAACUCCAAAUGGCAUACAGAUAGCUCCCUGGCCUGUAGCGACCACUACCCAAUACACAUCGACCUAUUCGAAGAACACAACAUGAACAAUCCCACUGAAAGACCAAGAUUUAACCUUAAAAAAGCAAACUGGCCCCUAUUCAAGGAUAUCGCAGACAAGUUGUCAACUGACAAACCCCCUAGCUCAAAUAUUAAUAAAGAGCCGCCAAUAUAACCAGAAUAAUAAUUCUGGCCGCCAAUGAAGCCAUUCCCCAAUCACGCCACUCUAAGAGAAAGAGGAACGUCCCAUGGUGGGAUAAAACACUUCAACAAUUAAAAAACGAAUUGCCUGGAAUAUACUUAAGAGAAACAUCAACACUACAAACAUACUAACAUACAAAAAAGCCAACGCUAAACUUAAGCGGGAAAUAAAAAUUAGAAAAAAAAUUUCAAUGGAAAACUUCACAGCAGAAAUUAACCCAAAUUCUCCCAUCGGCGAAAUUUUGACUAAAAUUAACCGUUUCUGCGGCCUUAAAGCUAGGCACAACAUCCACUGUCUUACCAAUCCCAACGACCCAACACAAAGCAUACUAGAUCGAAAUGAAAUAGGUAACACCCUCUCCACCCACUGGUCCAAUACCUCACGAGACAACCAUUUCCAUGCAAUAUUCUUAGAAAGGAAAUCCAACCCGAUCCUUAACACACACAUCCCGUCACCUGCAGCUCUUAAAAUAGAAAAGGAUAUAACUUUCAUAGAACUCCUUGCAGCACUCAACCAACUAAAGGGGAAAACGCCGGGUAGCGACCGCAUAAGCUAUCCUAUGUUAAAAAACCUAUCCAAAACACUACAAAAUAGACUUCUGAAUCUAUUCAACAACAUACUCAAAUCACACAUCCCUCAGCAAUACAUGGCAAGCAGUAUAAUACCCAUUCCUAAAACAAACCUGAACAAAACCGACGUCAACUCAUACCGACCCAUCUCCUUCAACCCAUGCAUAUCAAAGGUCCUUGACAAAAUAAUAGCUAAACGGCUAUGGUGGCUAGCCACAAAUGGCAAGCUUCUAGAUAACCGUCAAAUGGGAUUUUGAAAGGGAAAAUCGGUUUCUGAUUCUCUAGCUAUGCUAGAUUAUCAGAUAACUACAUCUCUUUCAAGGAAAAACCAUACAUCGAUUAUCUCGCUAGACUUCGCCAAAGCAUUCGACAGGAUAGGCAUCCACAGCAUCAUUGACGAGCUCAAUGCUUGGAAAAUUGGCCCAAAGAUUUUAAGAUAUACAAAAAACUUCCUCACCAACGGAAAAAUUUCAGUUCUUGUAAACAAAUCUUACUCCAACCCCCAGCCACUAUACAACGGAAUACCGCAAGGAUCUCCAUUGUCAGUGAUACUCUUUGCAAUAGCCUUUAACCAACUCAACAAAAUACUAGCUACCCAC